Molecule: non-coding RNA, 21 nt
Filed under: Caenorhabditis elegans
Lineage: Eukaryota; Metazoa; Nematoda; Chromadorea; Rhabditida; Rhabditidae
Source: RNAcentral
UAGAGUAUGACUUAGCGCGUU